CUCCACCUGCCCGGGUUUGUUGUUCGGAGUUGUCUCUCUCCUAGGCGAACUGCCUACCACGGCUAACGAGCUCCACCUGCCCGGGUUUGUUGUUUGGAGUUUGCUCUCCUAGGUGAACUGCCUACCACGGCUAACGAGCUCCACCUGCCCGGGUUUGUUGUUUGGAGUUUGCUCUCCUAGGUGAACUGCCUACCACGGCUAACGAGCUCCACCUGCCCGGGUUUGUUGUUUGGAGUUUGCUCUCCUAGGUGAACUGCCUACCACGGCUAACGAGCUCCACCUGCCCGGGUUUGUUGUUCGGAGUUUGCUCUCCUAGGUGAACUGCCUACCACGGCUAACGAGCUCCACCUGCCCGGGUUUGUUGUUCGGAGUUUGCUCUCCUAGGUGAACUGCCUACCACGGCUAACGAGCUCCACCUGCCCGGGUUUGUUGUUCGGAGUUUGCUCUC
This is a long non-coding RNA of Eriocheir sinensis (Chinese mitten crab), 448 nucleotides long. RefSeq lists it as uncharacterized. NCBI's taxonomy places the organism in Eukaryota, Metazoa, Arthropoda, Malacostraca, Decapoda, Varunidae. The record is from RefSeq and is a predicted model, not a curated record. The transcript has 4 exons.